ACAAAUGUCAAAGAGAAGGCCCCUGCUGGUUCAUUGAACUGGUGUCUUGAAUUUCGAACAUACACCCACUAUCUCCAUUGACUCUAGAGGCUGCGAGAGUUAGCAGCAGACAUGUACGAUCCAUCUAAACCAUAAAUUUUGAAAUAAAGUUCAUGCUAAAUAAACUAUCUAGUUUGAGCAGGAUCCAAUAGUCAUUCAAUAAAUAUUCGUAAGUUACAAAUAUUAGGCUGAAAUCAUGUGAUAGGUUAAAUCGAAUAGCAAUAAAACUUGAACAAAAUAAGGAGCGCAAACCACUGGGAACGUUUAGCUAAUCGGGAAAAGGGGAAAGGACAGAACCAAUCCAUCUUGAAUAAAGAACAUUCACAGGUUAAAAAAAAUGAAAUUGCGACUCCAAAGAAUAUCAAUGGAUUUUAUAACAUCUAUGCAAGAUGAACAUCAACAUCAAAAUCGAUAUUAUGACAUUAAGAAAAUAAUAACACGUCGAUAGAGAUCUUUUAAAUAAAACAAAGAAUCUAUGUGACAUAUUAGCAUUUAAAUCUCGUUGAGCAAAAACGACACUAAAUUAGCAUUCUAACCCUU
RNAcentral lists this long non-coding RNA (579 nucleotides) under Capsicum annuum. RNAcentral's name for it is "long non-coding RNA (CANN_LNC009313)". Lineage: Eukaryota; Viridiplantae; Streptophyta; Magnoliopsida; Solanales; Solanaceae. The record is from RNAcentral.